Molecule: non-coding RNA, 2816 nt
Organism: Oryctolagus cuniculus (rabbit)
Lineage: Eukaryota; Metazoa; Chordata; Mammalia; Lagomorpha; Leporidae
Source: RefSeq, a predicted model, not a curated record
UGACGAGCUCACGGCCCUGCCCUCAGCGCCGCCUCCACCACAGAGCCCAACCCUUGGAGCGGGGCCUGAGGGGCAAGGGGAAGGAAGGCACCUCACCAGGGCGCCCCCCCUACCCUGUGACGAGUUCGCAGCCCCGCCUCCACCGCAGAGCGGAACCCUUGGAGCCGGGUCUGAGGGGAAGGAAAAAAGGGGCGGCCCGCAGGAGCCGCGGAGAGCCUGGCUCCGGGUGGGAACCAGCUCAUCUGCCUGAGCCCCUUUGUUCUUCAACUAGCUGGCACCCCAGCCGAUGCUGGAGAAUCGGGCCCUCUCGCUGUGUCCACCUGGGUGCCCUGGCCACAUCUCUAACUCUACUGCCGCGGGGAACCCUGAUUCCAACAGCAGCAGUGAGGAGCUGAGGCAGAGACAAACUGAACAGUCUUUAAAAUGCUGUUAUGGAGACAAAAUGGCACCCUACAAGUUCACUCGGUGAAUUGGUCACUAGGUCUUCAUCAAACUGGACUUCGACUGACCUGCCUCCUAGGUGACUUUGUUAGACACACCCCAGUGUCCCAAGUGAAGUUGUUCAUCGGUUUUGAAGGGACUAAUAAUCAUGAUCAUUAAAAUUAAAGUCAACAGAAUUCCUGUACGAGGUUAAUGAUCGCAUGUGUUUCCAGUAAAUCUCUCCAGUGUUCUGGGGAAAUGCUUCUCACAUGCUGGCCUCUGCUCUGCUCGUCUUUGCUUCCUGAUAGCCUUGUCUUUCUGUCCCCUUGCAAUAGUCUCAGAUUGUGGAUGCUUCUUAAGAGCAUUCUCUCUGCCCUGCCCCAUUUCUGUCUGAAGUUAAACAAAGUUUCCCUACUUAUGCAGACCCAGGGAGGCAAUGGUGAUGGCCCAAAUAGUUGGAUUCCUGCUACCCAUGUGGGAGACCUGGAUCUAGUCCCCAGCUUCCUGCUUCAGCCCAGCCCACUACCAGAUGUUACGGGCAUUUGGGGAGUGAACCAGUAAAUGGGAGCGGUCUCUUCUUGUCUCUGCCUCUCAAAUAAGCACAAAUUUAAAAAAGUCAACAAGAAAACUUGGCUUAAGGACCAUGGUCCAGACCCAAAAUACAAUGGGAAAAAUAAGGGCAGCAUGUUUUAAAAUGCAUUGGACAUUGUGAACCCUUUGGUUACAUAAUCUGAUUCAGGAGAUUAAUUUUGGGGAGGUAAGAUGUAGAAACCAGAGUGUAUCAUCACAUUCCUUGUCAACUUAGUAUCUUUUUUGGGAGCUGAGGAUUUUGGAAGGAGAUUGCUCAGACACCUCUUGAGGGGGGUGAAGCCAGUUUCUCCCACUUGUGGCUCUCAUGUGCUUACCAGCAAUCUCAAACCCCCAAAUCCUGUCCUAACUUUCCUGAAAUCCGACAGUUGGAUGCUGAGGAAGCAGACAUGUGGAACAGAUCUGGAUCCGAUCUGGUAUACUGCCUACAGCCCAAUGCAAUGUGUUAGAGGCAAUCUUGAAAGACUACUGGGAAAAUGGAAAAAGGCACAGAAAUUGAUCUUGAAGGAGAACAACCUUUACUCUAAUUUGUUAUAGCGUUGCUUUCUAUCUCCCCAAAGAUAUUACUAUUGUAUUUGUCUUCAUAAGGCACAUCCUACCACUUUCAUGCCACCCCACCAGGGAAAGUAAUCGUAAAUGGCCUCUCUCUGAGAACAUUACCAAACUUCAAAAGACUUAACUGUAAAUUUAUUUUGUUGAUUUUUUAACAUUUUUGAUUUUUAACAUUUUGUCGAUUUUAACAUUUCUGUCGAUUUUAACACUUUUGUCGAUUGUAACAUAAAUACAAGGAAAUUAAAUAAAUCAAUAAAUCAAAAAUAUUGUAAAGACAAAUCGGCAUUCACAGAAAGCUAUUAUAUUAUUAGUAUGGUUAGUCUGGAAUACAGCAUUCACUGGAAAUGUAUGCAAGGGAGGCUUAGUGAAAGAACUAAAGGGUUCUGAAAUGUUCUUAAGACGGACAUACUUGAGGCACUGCUUGAGCAGGUAUGGGGGGAAUCAAGAUAGGCUCUAUAUGAGUAGGAGCAAUCAGGGUUUGAUACAUACAGCAACAACAGCAUUGCAGAAUAGUUGACUGUUCCCAGUAGCUGCUCCCCCUUGCCACUAUACACUCUUCAAGGCUUGAAACAUUUUUAAAAGUAAUCAUAAAUCUGGUUGUGCCAGGGUGGACCAGUCAUAAUAAUCAACAAUGUGCCUUUUAAAGAACAGCAACGUUCUUUUUUCCCCUUCUAUAGAUCUCUUAAAGUAAUCCUGUUCUACUCCUCUCUUCUGAAAGGCUCUGGGGACGUGAGAAGUGGCAGUGUGCAUAUCUCCUGCACGGUCACUGCGUUGCUGACAUAUGAUCUAGAUUACAGUUCCAUCCUUCUCGGCAGCCAAGGUAUUAAGCUAAAGACCGUAGUGCAGACUGUACACUCUGGCAAUUAGGGCUGGAGUCUGCGCGUAGGAUAUUGGUAUCGGAUGCCAGGUAUGGCUGUAAAGAUUGCAUGAAGAUGCAACCAAAAGAAUGAGUGGAGUUUGCCAAACAAGGUUGUGCCUGUCCUGUGGAGGCCCCUUUUUCUAACUUGCUCCAAGGCACUGUAUAAGCUCAUUGUGGCGCUAUUUGCUUACAUUUUCCAGUCUGGCUGGCAUCAUCAUUCUCUAUUUCAGUGAAGUUUCUAUAUUUCACAUCCCAUAUAGUCUCCAAAAGGAGAUUUUUGGUUCACUGAAUUAUCACAUUAGACAAAACAACCACAAUUCUAUGAAGGAAUAAACUUAGCAGAAAAUAAAUACAAAAAAAAAAAGAUUUUUGACAUGUGGUCCACUAGAAUUUAGCU